CUUUUUAGGGCCGUAACUGCAGCAUAUGAAGUUCCCAGGCUAGGGUUUGAAUCCGAACUGUAGUUGCCAACCUACACCACAGCUCACAGCAAUUCUGGAUCCUUAACACACUGAGCAUGGCCAGGGAUCAAACCUGCAUCCUCAUGGAUACUAGUUGGAUUUGUUACCACUGAGCCACAAUGGGAACUCCUUAGUGAUUCUUUGUGGUCUGUAAAUUAAAGUUUAUAUUCUUCAAGUUCUCUAGAUGCUGCUUGUACAUUCCUAUUCAACUUUAUCUUUCACAACUUCCUUAAACAGACUCCAGCCAAAAUGUCACUGAAUUUACCAACUUCUUUCUAUCUAGGAUUCCACUAUCUUUCUUUGUCUAGAUAGCCUCCCCCUCUCCACAAAACUACUGAUGACUUCUCUGAUUAAAUCAGUUCAGACUGUCAAAUGAACAUAAUAUGCAACUUCUGACCUCAUUACCUGAACUACUUUUUACAAAACUGUUAAUGAUCUUUUCUUUUCAGAUGUAUUUCUUUUAUGUAUAUAUUUUAUACCUCUUUGGCUACAUUGUGUAAGCUCACUGAGUCCAGGCACAGGCUUUGUCUGCCGGAAUUUAGCACCUUCCCUUGUAUCUAAACCAGAGAAAAGAGAAGGACCUUAACCAGGAGCCUAAGCAAGAGUUUUCAACCUUUUUUUUUUUUUUUUUAAUGGCUGCACUUGCAGCAUAUGGAAGCUUCUAGGCCAGGGACUGAAUCCAAGUCAAGUUGCUGCCUGUACUGCAGCUGCAGCAACAUCAGAUCUCUUAACCCACUGCACCGGUCCUGGGAUCAAACCCAUGCCUCCACAGCAACCCAAGUGGCUGCAGUCAGAUUCUUAAUCCACUGUGCCACAGCAGGAACUCCAAGAGUUUUCACCUUUGUUUGUUGACAUUUCCUAAGUGAAUAUUUGAAUUAUUUAUUUAAUCUUGAAACUCUACUAUUCAGUGUUUUCUUAAUUUACAUAAUCUUGUACAGCUUCAGAUUAUUACAUAUAAAAGAACAAUUUUAGUUUGGAAAGAAAUUUCUACACCAAUGAAGAAAUUUUAAGUAAGAAGAAGGGUGACCCAUUAAUAAAUAUCUUAAGGCUUUCAUUGUAAUUAAUAAACAGUCCUUGAUGAAACUGCAAAAUGCGUAAUAGUUUUUUGAUUUUAAUUUAGACUGUAGUAUAACUUUUUUAAAAAAAUUCUUCACAAUCAGUUUGGUCCUGCCCAUUAAAAAAUGAGUGUUGGAGUUCCCGUCGUGGCGCAGUGGUUAACGAAUCCGACUAGGAACCCUGAGGUUGCGUGUUCGGUCCCUGCCCUUGCUCAGUGGGUUAACGAUCCGGCGUUGCCGUGAGCUGUGGUGUAGGUUGCAGACGCGGCUCGGAUCCCGCGUUGCUGUGGGUCUGGCAUAGGCCGGUGGCUACAGCUCUGAUUAGAUCCCUAGCCUGGGAACCUCCAUAUGCCGAGGGAGCAGCCCAAGAAAUAGCAAAAAAAAAAAAAAAAAAAAAAAAAAAGACAAAAAAAAAAUGAGUGUUGCCUAGUAAUACUGUAAAUUAUUCUGAAAUUUGGAGAACAUUUAACUUCAAGUGACACAAGGCCUCAGUGAAUUCCUACCUCAUGAAAAGUUCUCAUAUUUAGAUAUAAAAAUCCUUCUAACAACUGAAACAGCUUUUGAAUAUGUUUUCAUUAAGCAAAAAAGGUAUUUUUUUUAACAUAAAAUAUACAUGUUUAACCGCAAAUGAAAAUGAACUCAUUUUUUUAGCUUUUUUUAGGACUGCACCUGCAACAUAUGGAAGUUCCCAGGCUAGGGGACAAAUUGGAGCUACAGCUGCUGGCCUACGCCACAGCCACAGCAUCACAGGAUCUGAGCCGUGUCUGCGACCUACACCACAGCUUACAGCAACACCAGAUCCUAAACCCACUGAACAAGGCCAGAGAUCGAACCCACGUCCUUAUGGAUCCUAGUCGGGUUCGUUAACUGCUGAGCCACGAAGAGAACUCUGAAAAUGAACUCUUUUUAAAGUAUAAAAAUAACAUUUCCCUUUCUGAAUAUACAGUACUUUUUAAAAAUUAUUAACACAGUGUCUUAUAUUUAGUAGUUUAGAAAUCUACUGGAAAAUAUAUUUGGAAUUUUAUUUGGAAAGUGUAUAUACUUUAUUCCUUUUUUUCAUCCCUUAUGAGAGGAUCUGGGAGGUACAGGCCAUGACAGCAAUGACCCUGUUGGUCCCUUCACCACUGUACCUGGGGCCUAAGACUGUACCUGGCACAUAAUAGAUACUCAUUAAGUAUUUUUUAAACAAAUGAACUGCUAGAAUAUAAGCUCCAUAAGGAAAAGGAAUAUCUUUGAGUUUAUUAGUUAAAAAUCUGGCCCUUGGAUUCAUAUUUGUAGUGUUUGAAUUCUGGUUGCACUAUUUCAUAGCUGUGAGACCUCUCCAAGCCUGUUUCCUCACCUGCAAAAUGUAGGAGUAAUAGAAUCUGCCUCAUAGAGUUACUGUGAGAAUUAAUCCACAUAAAUACUUGCACUUGGGGAGCACUCAAUACAUGUUAGCUGCUAUUAUCACCAUCAACAUUGUCAUUAUCUUCUUCAUUAGUCUCAUUCGCCAUUUAUCUUCUGCUCCUAGCAGGGAGCAUAUGCUCAGUAAAUAUUUGUCAAGUGAAGAAGUGAAUCAAUGAAUCAUACACAAAUGGGUCUGACUACCCUCAGUAUACUUCCAGGUAGGAUUUCAGACAAAUAGAAAAAAUUUUUAAAAGACUCUAAAAAUUAAUGGCACUAAAUUACUCUUAUUUGAACCUGCUAUUUGGAGAUUUAGUCACAAAGUCCUAGUCAUUCUCUGGUCCUUGGGGAACAGGUGUUCUUUCUGUUUUCUUUUUGAACUUCUGGUUGUGCCUAGCACAGAGGUUUGUAUCCUUUCUACCAAAAAAAAUUCUUACUUAGCCAAGUCACUUAAGUUAAAAUCUGAAAAUAAAUGAACAUAGAUUAUAAAAUGGGUAAAUGUUAGAAUACUCAUAAUAUUUAACUACAUUAUCUUAACAAAUCCAGUUUGCAGCAUUUAUGUUUCUUGCAAUGUUGCUAUACAUUGAAGUGUCAUAGUGAGAAUCAUUACUUCUACACUUUCUAGCUUAAAACUGCAGUAAAAAUUAUGUAAAUAGUAACUAAAGAGUUAUAUUUCCGUGAGCUGCCUCACUGUGAGUGGACAACAAAAGUCUCAGGGUGUGUGGCUUUGAAAUACUUCUUUUGUUACUAACUUAAAUCAUUUUCAAUCUCAUAUUCAUAAUAUUUCUCAUGAGAAGUGUUCUAUAUUGAAUAGUGCUGAUAAGUUUUCUAAUUUAUUUCGAGCUUCACUAUGGAAAGAUGCUAUUAGAUUAUAGAGUAGCACUGUUACAUUUAAGGUUUAUACUAGUUCUUUUUUAACUUAUAAAAAUGAAUGUGAACUUCAGCAGCAAAGAGUUUAUUUUUUAUUAAGAUGAAUACUGAAUAAUUAUUUUAACUGAGUGAGGAAAAGAAGGGAUGUAGAUUCAGAGAAGAGUUAAAGUUCUCUUUCUACUUGUGUAUAUUCUUGGUGCAAUUAUUAUUUUUUCACCAUAUUUUCUAUAUUGAAAAUAAACUUAAAAAAACUAAAAAAAUACCCAUAAACCUUGAUUCUCCUUAUCACACCAUUUCUCACAAGUAUACUGACAAAAGAACUGCAGGUCCUAAAAGCUAAAGUCAGUGGUUUUCAAAUGUUUGUGUGUACACUGCAGACUAAGGAGGGGUAUUUGUUAGGAAUGCAGAUUCUUGGGCUACACCCAGGAUUCUCAUCUCUUGGGGUGUGGCUCAGAGUCAAGUGAGAAAAUGUGUCAAGGUAGAGGAAAAGAAACUAACCCAGUAAUUGUUCUAUCUAAAAUCUAAAAACAUUCUUCUAGUUUCUUCUUUGCUUCUUUUUGCCUCUUUUUACUUUCUCUGGACUUGAACAUGAGGCUCUAAUUGUUUCUCAGAUGCACUUCCAACUCUUUCAAAAUUCCAGAAACAAGCUCAAGCUGAAGCUGCCUGGUCAUUUUUACAUAUGCGCUGGACGCAGGGCUGCUGAAAUUCCAAACCUUAAACUUGAAAGGAAGACUAGGAGUUCCCACCUUGGCUCAGUGGAAAUGAAUCCAACUAGGAACUAUGAAGUUGUGGGUUUGAUCCCUGGCUUGCUCAGUGGGUUAAGGGUCUGGUGUUGCUGUGAGCUGUGGCAUAGGCUGCAGAUGCAGCUCAGAUCUGGCGUUGCUUUGGCUCUGGCGUAGGCCAGCAGCAACAGCUCCAAUUCAACCCCUAGGCUGGGAACCUUCAUAUGCUGCGGGUGUGGCCCUAAAAAGACAAAAGAUAAAAAAAAAAAAAAAGAAAAAAA
This 4371-nucleotide long non-coding RNA is filed under the name Sus scrofa (pig). RNAcentral's name for it is "lncRNA (ENSSSCG00055012779.1)". Lineage: Eukaryota; Metazoa; Chordata; Mammalia; Artiodactyla; Suidae. The record is from RNAcentral.